Molecule: ribosomal RNA, 872 nt
Filed under: uncultured organism
Description: bacterial SSU rRNA
Rfam family: Bacterial small subunit ribosomal RNA
Source: RNAcentral
GGCUUAGAGUUUGAUCAUGGCUCAGGACGAACGCUGGCGGCGUGCCUAUACAUGCAAGUCGAGCGAGCGGAACUAACAGAUUUACUUCGGUAAUGACGUUAGGAAAGCGAGCGGCGGAUGGGUGAGUAACACGUGGGGAACCUGCCCUAUAGUCUGGGAUACCACUUGGAAACAGGUGCUAAUACCGGAUAAGAAAGCAGAUCGCAUGAUCAGCUUUUAAAAGGCGGCGUAAGCUGUCGCUAUGGGAUGGCCCCGCGGUGCAUUAGCUAGUUGGUAAGGUAAAGGCUUACCAAGGCGAUGAUGCAUAGCCGAGUUGAGAGACUGAUCGGCCACAUUGGGACUGAGACACGGCCCAAACUCCUACGGGAGGCAGCAGUAGGGAAUCUUCCACAAUGGACGCAAGUCUGAUGGAGCAACGCCGCGUGAGUGAAGAAGGUUUUCGGAUCGUAAAGCUCUGUUGUUGGUGAAGAAGGAUAGAGGUAGUAACUGGCCUUUAUUUGACGGUAAUCAACCAGAAAGUCACGGCUAACUACGUGCCAGCAGCCGCGGUAAUACGUAGGUGGCAAGCGUUGUCCGGAUUUAUUGGGCGUAAAGCGAGCGCAGGCGGAAGAAUAAGUCUGAUGUGAGAGCCCUCGGCUUAACCGAGGAACUGCAUCGGAAACUGUUUUUCUUGAGUGCAGAAGAGGAGAGUGGAACUCCAUGUGUAGCGGUGGAAUGCGUAGAUAUAUGGAAGAACACCAGUGGCGAAGGCGGCUCUCUGGUCUGCAACUGACGCUGAGGCUCGAAAGCAUGGGUAGCGAACAGGAUUAGAUACUCUGGUAGUCCAUGCCGUAACGAUGAGUGCUAAGUGUUGGGAGGUUUCUGCCUCUCAG